UACGUAGGGUGCAAGCGUUUAAUCGGAAUUACUGGGCGUAAAGCGUGCGCAGGCGGUUAUGUAAGACAGAUGUGAAAUGCCCGGGCUUAACCUGGGAACUGCAUUUGUGACUGCAUGGCUAGAAUCUGGCAGAGGGGGGUAGAAUUCCACGUGUAGCAGUGAAAUGCGUAGAUAUGUGGGAGGAACACCCGAUGGCGAAGGCAGCCCCCCUGGGCCGACACUGACGCUCAUGGCACGAAAGCGUGGGGAGCAAACAGG
This 258-nucleotide ribosomal RNA is filed under the name uncultured bacterium. RNAcentral's name for it is "partial 16S ribosomal RNA". It matches the Rfam family "Bacterial small subunit ribosomal RNA", at positions 524 to 776 of the family's 1533-position model. The record is from RNAcentral.